AGCGAACGCUGGCGGCAGGCUUAACACAUGCAAGUCGAACGCCCCGCAAGGGGAGUGGCAGACGGGUGAGUAACACGUUGGAACGUACCCUUUGGUUCGGAAUAACUUGGGGAAACUCAAGUGAAUACCGGAUAAGCCCGUAUGGGGAAAGGGUUACUCCCGAAGGAUCGGCCCGCGUCGGGUUAGCUAGUUGGUGGGGUAAUGGAUCACCAAGGCGACGAUCAGUAGCUGGUCUGAGAGGAUGAUCAGCCACACUGGGACUGAGACACGGCCCAGACUCCUACGGGAGGCAGCAGUGGGGAAUAUUGGACAAUGGGGGCAACCCUGAUCCAGCCAUGCCGCGUGAGUGAUGAAGGCCUUAGGGUUGUAAAGCUCUUUUACCCGGGACGAUAAUGACUGUACCGGGAGAAUAAGCCCCGGCUAACUUCGUGCCAGCCGCCGCAGUAA
RNAcentral lists this ribosomal RNA (447 nucleotides) under uncultured bacterium. RNAcentral's name for it is "partial 16S ribosomal RNA". It matches the Rfam family "Bacterial small subunit ribosomal RNA", at positions 29 to 523 of the family's 1533-position model. The record is from RNAcentral.